Molecule: ribosomal RNA, 250 nt
Filed under: uncultured bacterium
Lineage: Bacteria
Description: partial 16S ribosomal RNA
Rfam family: Bacterial small subunit ribosomal RNA
Source: RNAcentral
UACGAAGGGAGCUAGCGUUGUUCGGAAUUACUGGGCGUAAAGCGCGCGUAGGCGGAUUAUUAAGUUAGGUGUGAAAUCCCAGGGCUCAACCCUGGAACUGCACUUAAUACUGGUAAUCUAGAGUUCGAGAGAGGUGAGUGGAAUUCCGAGUGUAGAGGUGAAAUUCGUAGAUAUUCGGAGGAACACCAGUGGCGAAGGCGGCUCACUGGCUCGAUACUGACGCUGAGGUGCGAAAGCGUGGGGAGCAAAC